Molecule: RNA transcript, 27570 nt
Organism: Pan troglodytes (chimpanzee)
Lineage: Eukaryota; Metazoa; Chordata; Mammalia; Primates; Hominidae
Gene: ADRB2
Gene name: adrenoceptor beta 2
Exons: 3
Source: RefSeq, marked validated
AGAAUUAUCUUGUGUUUUUUGUUUUGUUCUGUUUUGAGAUGGAGUCUUGUUCUGUCACCCAGGCUGGAGCGCAGUGACGUGAUCUCGGCUCACUGCAACCUUCACCUCCCGGGUUCAAGAGAUUCUCCUGUCUCAGCCUCCCGAGUAGCUGGGACUACAGGUACGUGCCACCACACCUGGCUAAUUUUUGUAUUUUUAGUAGAGACAAGAGUUACACCAUAUUGGCCAGGAUCUUUUGCUUUCUAUAGCUUCAAAAUGUUCUUAAUGUUAAGACAUUCUUAAUACUCUGAACCAUAUGAAUUUGCCAUUUUGGUAAGUCACAGACGCCAGAUGGUGGCAAUUUCACAUGGUGCAACCCGAAAGAUUUACAAACUAUCCAGCAGAUGAAAGGAUUUUUUUUAGUUUCAUUGGGUUUACUGAAGAAAUUGUUUGAAUUCUCAUUGCAUCUCCAGUUCAACAGAUAAUGAGUGAGUGAUGCCACACUCUCAAGAGUUAAAAACAAAACAACAAAAAAAUUAAAACAAAAGCACACAACUUUCUCUCUCUGUCCCAAAAUACAUACUUGCAUACCCCCGCUCCAGAUAAAAUCCAAAGGGUAAAACUGUCUUCAUGCCUGCAAAUUCCUAAGGAGGGCACCUAAAGUACUUGACAGCGAGUGUGCUGAGGAAAUCGGCAGCUGUUGAAGUCACCUCCUGUGCUCUUGCCAAAUGUUUGAAAGGGAAUACACUGGGUUACCGGGUGUAUGUUGGGAGGGGAGCGUUAUCAGUGCUCGGGUGAGGCAAGUUUGUGAGUACCCAGAUGGAGACAUCCGUGUCUGUGUCGCUCUGGAUGCCUCCAAGCCAGCGUGUGUUUACUUUCUGUGUGUGUCACCAUGUCUUUGUGCUUCUGGGCGCUUCUGUGUUUGUUUCUGGCCGCGUUUCUGUGUUGGACAGGGAUGACUUUGUGCCGGAUGGCUUCUGUGUGAGAGCGCGCGCGAGUGUGCAUGUCGGUGAGCUGGGAGGGUGUGUCUCAGUGUCUAUGGCUGUGGUUCGGUAUAAGUCUGAGCAUGUCUGCCAGGGUGUAUUUGUGCCUGUAUGUGCGUGCCUAGGUGGGCACUCUCGUUUCCUUCCGAAUGUGGGGCAGUGCCGGUGUGCUGCCCUCUGCCUUGAGACCUCAAGCCGCGCAGGCGCCCAGGGCAGGCAGGUAGCGGCCACAGAAGAGCCAAAAGCUCCCGGGUUGGCUGGUAAGCACACCAGCUCCAGCUUUAGCCCUCUGGGGCCAGCCAGGGUAGCCGGGAAGCAGUGGUGGCCCGCCCUCCAGGGAGCAGUUGGGCCCCGCCCGGGCCAGCCCCAGGAGAGGGAGGGCGAGGGGAGGGGAGGAAAGGGGAGGAGAGGAAAGGGGAGGAGUGCCUCGCCCCUUCGCGGCUGCCGGCGUGCCAUUGGCCGAAAGUUCCCGUACGUCACGGCGAGGGCAGUUCCCCUAAAGUCCUGUGCACAUAACGGGCAGAACGCACUGCGAGGCGGCUUCUUCAGAGCACGGGCUGGAACUGGCAGGCACCGCGAGCCCCUAGCACCCGACAAGCUGAGUGUGCAGGACGAGUCCCCACCACACCCACACCACAGCCGCUGAAUGAGGCUUCCAGGCGUCCGCUCGCGGCCCGCAGAGCCCCGCCGUGGGUCCGCCCGCUGAGGCGCCCCCAGCCAGUGCGCUCGCCUGCCAGACUGCGAGCCAUGGGGCAACCCGGGAACGGCAGCGCCUUCUUGCUGGCACCCAAUGGAAGCCAUGCGCCGGACCACGACGUCACGCAGGAAAGGGACGAGGUGUGGGUGGUGGGCAUGGGCAUCUUCAUGUCUCUCAUCGUCCUGGCCAUCGUGUUUGGCAAUGUGCUGGUCAUCACAGCCAUUGCCAAGUUCGAGCGUCUGCAGACGGUCACCAACUACUUCAUCACUUCACUGGCCUGUGCUGAUCUGGUCAUGGGCCUGGCAGUGGUGCCCUUUGGGGCCGCCCAUAUUCUUAUGAAAAUGUGGACUUUUGGCAACUUCUGGUGCGAGUUUUGGACUUCCAUUGAUGUGCUGUGCGUCACGGCCAGCAUUGAGACCCUGUGCGUGAUCGCAGUGGAUCGCUACUUUGCCAUUACUUCACCUUUCAAGUACCAGAGCCUGCUGACCAAGAAUAAGGCCCGGGUGAUCAUUCUGAUGGUGUGGAUCGUGUCAGGCCUUACCUCCUUCUUGCCCAUUCAGAUGCACUGGUACCGGGCCACCCACCAGGAAGCCAUCAACUGCUAUGCCAAUGAGACCUGCUGUGACUUCUUCACGAACCAAGCCUAUGCCAUUGCCUCUUCCAUCGUGUCCUUCUACGUUCCCCUGGUGAUCAUGGUCUUCGUCUACUCCAGGGUCUUUCAGGAGGCCAAAAGGCAGCUCCAGAAGAUUGACAAAUCUGAGGGCCGCUUCCAUGUCCAGAACCUUAGCCAGGUGGAGCAGGAUGGGCGGACGGGGCAUGGACUCCGCAGAUCUUCCAAGUUCUGCUUGAAGGAGCACAAAGCCCUCAAGACGUUAGGCAUCAUCAUGGGCACUUUCACCCUCUGCUGGCUGCCCUUCUUCAUCGUUAACAUUGUGCAUGUGAUCCAGGAUAACCUCAUCCGUAAGGAAGUUUACAUCCUCCUAAAUUGGAUAGGCUAUGUCAAUUCUGGUUUCAAUCCCCUUAUCUACUGCCGGAGCCCAGAUUUCAGGAUUGCCUUCCAGGAGCUUCUGUGCCUGCGCAGGUCUUCUUUGAAGGCCUAUGGGAAUGGCUACUCCAGCAACGGCAACACAGGGGAGCAGAGUGGAUAUCACGUGGAACAGGAGAAAGAAAAUAAACUGCUGUGUGAAGACCUCCCAGGCACGGAAGACUUUGUGGGCCAUGAAGGUACCAUGGUACCUCGCCACAUUGCCUGGAAUCGCCUGACCCUCCCUUUACCCCACAAGGAGUCCCCAGCUCUUGGAGCUUCAGAGUUCUUGUCCAAGUCUCACACAAUCCCCUGAAGAGUGGUGAAAAUACUCUCCAAAGUCGCUGAACCGUGAGCACAGGACCACAUCCCAGGAACUGCCACAGAAACUGUUCCUGGCUUAAUGUGGAAUUGAACCCCAGAAUGCAGAACAGCUCUGAGUCUCAGUCAUAGACACCCAGGAGGACUCUCACUGCUGGUCAGACAAGUGCCUGGACUUUGGGUCGCCAUUCCUCUCUCUUUUGACACCACUGCCUGUUUCACCAAGUUCCCCCCCCAUGGCAUAUGACAGCAUGAUGCCCCAAGGGAGAAAAGCUGCCAAGAAGGGCCCUGAGUCUUUGGCAUUGGGCUAGAAGGUGGCGCUCUCCUAGCAUAUGACUCAGGCUACAAGGGGAUGCUUGCCUCCUGAGCACUGUCAGUUUCCUUGCUUAGAAACUGGAAAUAAGAAGAAUCCUGUCAUCUCAGAGGACUUUAUGGGAAUCAGAUGAGAAAAGAGGUUCUGAGGAAAACUUCGAUUUGCUAUUUAGAUCCUUGAGUCCAAGACUCUCAGCCACUGCUUUGACCUCCUACCUCUCCGGCAUGCUAUCUCUUCACUUCACCCACCCUGGUAGCUUCUCCAGCAAUAACAGAGCAGCUCACAUCAUGGGCUCUGGAGUCAGGCUGCUGGGUGUUUCCCACUGGCUCUAAUCUUACCAGCUGUGUGACCUUAGGCAUGUUAACUCACCUCUCUGAUCUUCAGUUGUCUCAUCUGAAAGUGGGGAUAAAACAGAACCUACCUCAAGGGUUGCUGUGAGAUAAUGUAUGAAAUGCACCUGGCACAGCACCUACAAUACAUUCAUUCCUGCUGCUAUUAGUGUUACUUCUUUGAAGAUCCACAGCCUGUUAUCACUAAUAGGAUCAGUGGGAGACUGAAUAUAACUAAUGUGACUAGUAGGCGUCCUGAACACUGGCAGCUCUCUUGAGGUGUGGUCCACAGAACUUUGGCAGUCCUCCAGAUCCUUUCAAGAGGUCCACAAUGCCAAAAUAAUUUUCAGAGUCAUACUACUUGGCGUUUUUCACUGUGUUGACAUUUGCACUGAUGGUGCAAAAGCAAUGAUGUGCAACUGUGCAAGUGGUCAUUGUAUUCUUUACCACUAUGCAUGCCCAGAGAUGGGGGGAAACACAGUUUCACUUAACAAUGUCUUUUAUUAAGCAGUAAAUAUUGUUAUUUUUAUUAAAUUUUGACCCCAUUUUUACUUGAAAGAAUGACUAACAGACAAACUAUGAUUAUUCAGAUGUGGGCAUGUAGCAGACAUUUCCACAGAAAUGAAUGAGGUAAGCCUGUCGCUUCAAGAAAAAUCACUACCAAUAUUUGUUGCUAAUGAUAAAAUUCAAGCUUACAAGUAAAUUUUAGAAAGCUUAUGUCUGCCACCGCAAACUUGUCAGUUUCCCAAUACUUGAAGAUUUUGCAUAUAAGAUUUAUAGUAAUAUUAAUUAAUGUGAUUUUUUUGUAUUAUAGAAUGAAAUGUGUCAACAUUUGGAAGACCUGCGUAACUAAUAUUUUCCCAAUGAUUAAUGUAUGAUGUUACAAAAUCAUGCAGGGGUAAAAGAUCCUUUGAAAGUGUAAGUUGGACCAAUGGAUUAUAUGUAAUCAACUAAGGAAAAGUUCAUUGAUAAGGUUCCAGAUUUUGCAUUGAAACUAACCUUUCAGAAACUGCCACAAGUUUUUGUGUAAUAUCAAAGAAGAAUAUCCAUGACUACCUGAGAUGGCCAUUAAAAUAUUCCCCCUUUUUCCAACUAUGUCUCUGAGUGAGGUCAGAUUUUAUUUAUAUACUUCAACAAAACAUCACAUUGUAAUAGAUUAAAUGAAGAAUCAGAUGAGAAUCAAGCUAUCCUCUAUUAAGCCAGAUGUUGAAGAGAUAAGCAAACAUAAAAUAAUGCCAUUUUCUGAAUAUAAUUUUUUAAUUUUGAAACAUUUUCAUAAGGAAAUGUCAAUUAUGUUCCCAUGUCAUGGGUGUAUUUUUGUUACUUUCAUAUGAAUUAAAGCGAUAACUUUAAAUUUUAUGUUUUAACUUCUUAUUUGGUAAAUAUCACUAGAUGGAAUCUACAUAAAUGAAAUCUAUGUGUAGUUCUCAAUCAUCUUUUUAAGAGGGUAAAGAGGUCUAAGACCAAGAAGCUUUAGAACCACUGCUGUAAAUGUUUGAGAGAGAGAUGGAGAGCAAAAGAGGGUAAAGAGAAGUUCCCGUGCUAAGCAUAGGAAGUGACAGGCCUGUUGUGUGCUCUGUUCCUCAGCUCACACCAGGAACACUCUGGAGUUACCUGUCCAACACAGAGCCCCACAUUUUAGCAGGGAUACUGACAAACUGAACAUUAUUCCAAAAAGGGUAACUGGAGGAUAAAAAUUAUGUCCCUGGAGGAACAAUAGAAAUAAGUAGAUAAACACCCUGAGGCUGGGCGCGGUAGCUAACGCCUGUAAUCCCAGCACUUUGGGAGGCCAAGGCAGGCAGAUCACUUGGGGUCAGGAGUCCCAGACCAGCCUGAUCAACAUGGAGAAACCCUAUCUCUACUAAAAAAUACAAAAAUUAGCCAGGGGUGAUGGCAUGCACCUGUAAUCCCAGAUACUAGGGAGGCUGAGGCAGCAGAAUGGCUUAAACCUGGGAGGCGGAGGUUGAUGUGAGCCAAUAUCAUGCCACUGCACUCCAGUCUGGGUGACAGAGUGAGACUCUGUCUCAAAAAAUAAAUAAGUAGGCCGGGCGCAGUGGCUCAUGCCUGUAAUCCCAGCACUUUGGAAGGCUGAGGUGGGCAGAGCACGAAGUCAGGAGAUCGAGACCAUCCUGGCUAACACAGUGAAACCCCAUCUCUACUAAAAAUACAAAAUGUUAGCUGGGUGUGGUGGUGGGUGCCUGUAAUCCCAGCUAGUCGGGAGGCUGAAGCAGGAAAAUCGCUUGUACAUGGGAGGUGGAGGUUGCAGUGAGCCGAGAUCACGCCACUGCACUCCAGCCUGGGCAACAGAGCAAGACUCUGUCUCAAAUAAAUAAAUAAAUAAAUAAAUAAAUGAAAAUAAAUAAAUAGGCACAUAUGUACCAUGGAAUACUAUGUAGCCAUAAAAAAAGAAUAAGUUCAUGUCCUUUGCAGGGACACGAAUGAAGCCGGAAACCAUCAUUCUCAGCAAACUAACAGAGGAACAGAAAACCAAACACCGCAUGCUCUCACUCAUAAGUGGGAGUUGAACAAUGAGAACACAUGGACACAGGAAGAGGAACAUCACAUACCAGGGCCUGUCGGGGAGUGAGGGGAAAGGGGAAGGAGAGCAUUAGGACAAAUGCCUAAUGCAUUUGGGGCUUAAAACUUAGAUGAUGGGUUGAUAGGUGCAGCAAACCACCAUGGCACAUGUAUACCUAUGUAACAAACCUGUAUGUUCUGCACAUGUAUCCCAGAAAUUAAGGUAAAAUUUAAAAAUAAAUAAAUAAAUAAACUUACUCUGGGAACAAAAAGGCAAAACUAAAAAUAAAAUAAAAUUUAUAGAACUAUAAUAGCUUCUUCAAAUCUUUGAAAGGCUGUCAGAAAAAUGUUGACCAAAGGGUUGUAUAAGAAUGGCCUCAAAUAUGUAUUUUGGUACACCAAUAUUUUUUCUUCUGUUUUCACCUCUGUCAUUCUCUAAUGAUUCUCCCCGCUCUAAAAUGUUGUUUCUAGUCUCUUCUCAUUCCCUUCUCUUUUUCUCUUUCUUUUUCUAGCUUGCUUUUUCUCUCUCUGACCCCUUUCUCUCCUUCCCUUCCUUUCAUUAAAUUUCUUCCUUAAUUAUCCACAAUAUAUAAUAAAUACAUUUUUUUCAAAAAGUUUUGUUUCUUUUUUUUCUUAAAAAGGUGUGAGUAGGAGGAGAAUGAGGAAGAAGAGGAGGGAGGAAGAGGGGAGGGCCCAGGGGGAGGAGAUGGGGGAAAAGAGAAUAAAGGGGAGGGAGAGGAAGAAUAAAAAAUAAUGAUCUGUUUUUGUUCCCCCUCUGUAACCUGAUGUAUUUAAUAAGACAAAAGUGUGAAUGAUGGUGGUUCCCAGGGCAGGAGCAAGAGCAUUUCCUCCCAGCAUGGAGAGCAGGAGGGUGAGUAAGGCUGAGCCUUGGGCUUUGGGUGUUAUUUAUCUCAGGUUCAUUAGAGAGAAAGAAAAAGUCACAAAACAGUGAGUGUGGAUGUUUUACAGACAAUGUGAGGCAAAUAGAAUAGAGAAUUUUCGAAUAUUUUUAAAAGACUUGUAACAAGAUUCCUCUUCUAGGAAAGGAGCUUAAGGAAAUAAUCUAAUAUAUAGGCAUAAAACUAUGCACAAGAAUGGCUGUCACAGUAUUAAUUAAAAUAAUGAAGAACUGACAUACCCUAAGUGUACAACAAUAAAUGAUUAAAUUAUUUCUGAGAUACAAAUGUAAAUUAAGACUAUUAAGCAAUCAAUAAAAAUAAUUAAUAGAGAAAUAAAUAAUGGCAUGGGGAAAUACAAGAUAAUGUUGAAAUUUAAAAAAUAAUGAAGAUACCAAAUUAAAUAUAUGUAGUAAUUUAGUCAAUAUAUUUUUAUUGAGCUGCUACUUGCACUAUAGCAGAUAUUGGACAUUUAGUAUUGUGCAUAAUCCCUGCCUUUAUACAGUUUAAAUUCAAAUAAAAAAUAUAGAUUUUAAAUAAUUAAUUAGACAAAUAAUUAGUUGCAUGCCUUUUGUUCCCUGUUUCAAUAAAUAGACAUGAAUUUGUGAAAAGCUAUAAGGAAUGAUAAAAUAUUAAUGCUGGAUUUUUAGAUGGUAAAGCUGUAGGUGCUUGAUAUAUUCCUUGUAAGUUACAUAUUUUCCAAAUUUCCUAGAAUAAGAAUAUAUUACUUUUAAAAUCAUCUUAAAUGUCAAUGAUACUUAAGAAAAAAUAUCUAAGGAACACACUCUUGCAAUUAAUUUCUAACCUUCAGCCUCCCUUCCUUUCUCCUUUACAUCAUUAGACACCAAUGACACCUUCUGCCUCUAUGACCUACCUAGAAAACCAAAACAGGCAAUGGCCUUCAUUCUUUUUGAAAAAAGUGCUAGACAAACAGAGUUUGAGGUGCCAGGUAGGCUACGAGGCAAAAGACUGGCCCUUUUCUUAUGGAAUUCAAAAUGUGAAGAUAGGAACAGACGGGUAACCAGUGCAACUGUUACUGGGCACUAUGCUGAGCACUCCAUGUGCCUCAUUUCAUUUACUCUUCACUGCAAACUAUAGAAUAGAUUCUGGGUUUAGACCCAUUUUACAGAUGAGGAAACUGAGGCUCACUGAAGUUAAAUAAUACCUUGCAGGUGGCAGAGCUGGAAUUCAGAUUCCCAUGGCCUGACUCCAAAGCCCAAGCCCUAAGUAAAUCACGAGGAAGAAGACAGAGCUGUGAGUUAAGCUGUUCAAGGUCCCGCAAGGGAGAGGACCUAGCCCAGACCUAAGUAUGAGGGGAAUCUUCCUGGAAGAAGCAACCUGUACCUGAGACCUCAAGGGUUGCAGACAAGGGCCUGUGGACUGAUUCUGGAAAAUGAAAGCUCAGUAGGACUAGCAUGUGGAAUACUGCAGGGGAUUAGGGGGAAGGCAGAAAUGAGGCCACAGAAUAAGCAAAGAACAAAUCAUAUAGGUCCUUGAAAACUCAGUUAGGACAUUUCAUGUUUAUCCUCAAAAAUGUUGGGAAUCACUAAAGUGUUUUAAGCAGGAAAACAUCAGGGUCAGUUUUCCACUUACAAAAUAUAAUUCUGGCAACUUGGAGAAUAAUUUGGAUGAAUCAAGACUGAAGGCCAAGAGGCCAAUUAGGAGGCUAUAGACAUCAAUCAGUAGAAAGAUGAUGGUGGCCCAAAGCAGGAUAGAAGCAACAAGGAGAGAGAUAGGAUGUCUGGUCCCAGAGGUAUUUUGGAAGUAAAGUUGGCAGAUGUAGAGGAGGUGAGACAAAGGCAGAAAUAGGAUGCCAAGAUGUUUCUCUAAUAGUGUGCCAAUCAAAGUGCCCGUCGUUGAGAAAGGGGACAUGGGAGGAGGCUGCCAUUCUGUGGAGCAAAAUCAGUUCACUUUAGGACAAGCUGGAUUUGAAUCACCAUUGUGACAUUUAGUUGGCAAUGCCCAGUAAGAAGGCAGAUAUAAGAGUCUGAAGCUCAGGAGAAGGAGCUGGGCUAGCAGUUCAUCUAUCUAAUGGUUGAGCCUUGGAAAUGGAUGAAAUUCCCUUGAGAAAGCUGUGUAUGAGAAGAAAAGAAGGCUUAUGAUCAAAUCUGAAAAACACCAGCAUGUGAAGUCGGGGGAAAAAAAUAAGUCAAAACAAACAAACAACAACAAUAACAACAACAAAGAAACAGGAAAUGAGCAGCUGCCAGGAAGGUAGAAAAAAAAAUGCCUACAGAGGACAAGCGUGGUGUCAUGGAAGCUGCAAAGAAAAUUUUUCUGGAAGGCAGAAGUGGUCAGCAAGCAAAGAAAUGUUAAAAGGAUUUAGAAACAAGGAAGUUGUCAGUCACCUUUGGGAAGCCAGCUUCAGUUGCAAAGUGAGGGUAGAAGCCAGACUGGAGGGUAGCUGUCCAGCAGGAAAGUAGGUGGGAAGAAGUGGAGAUAGCACAUGCAAGCACCUGGAAGCAUGGCUGGAAAGGCAAGGAGAAAGAGGGAGCAAUAGCUGGUGGCGAAACUGGACUAAAUAUUGGUUCCUUCCCACUUCACAGUUAUCAUGAUUUGAUAGAUGAACUAGACCAAUUUCUCUUUGCAUGAACUAAAAUUGAUAAGUGGCAUUACUAUCAAUCAGGAACCACUGAGCUUCUAAAUCACCUGAUUUCUCUAGGAAGAUACCAAAAAUAAAGAUCAUGUACAACCUCACAACAUUUGAUUUAGAUUCAAGAAAGCUGCAAUUAACCCUUUGAUUCUAUGUAAUCAUAAAAUUUUAUUAUUAUUUUGAUUAUAAUAACAUCAGCUAACAUUUGUGGAUCACUCACUAUAUGCCAUGAACUGUUCUAAAGGCUAUGCAUAUAACUAGUUUGAUCCUCACAACACCAUGAGAUAAAUCAUUAUCCCCAUUUUACAGAUGCAGAAAUUGAGAGAGAGUUGAAGUAACUGGUUCACAAUCACAAUCGCAUGGCAAGCAAGUAUUGGAGUCAGGAUUCCUUAAGGGUGCUUCUCCCUGACUUAUCCCAGGGACAGGGGAGAAAAAAAAAUUGAAAGGUCCGGGGCAGAAAAGGUGAAAUAAUUCUGAGGUUGCCAGAACACUUCCAUUCCAGAAAAGUCCUGGCAUGAAAGGAGAACAAACUGGUCUGUAGGUACUCUCAGCUACUUUUCCCUAGUGGGUCAGGGGCAGACAAUGGUAUUUCCUGAGCCAAAUGCUCUAGGCCUUGCUGGCACCAACCACUUAAAUAUGUUCUUUGAAAUUCUAGUUGUCUGAAGGCUGGAGCACAGAGGUGAGCUGAAUAUCCUAAAAGGACUACUGAAGAGUGGAAAGCACAAAGUCCUUCUUGUAAAUGGUCAUCCCAGCUUGAUUCCAUAUCUGCACAGCUUUCUACCAUUUGUUGAGGGCCUAUAUACCAUUAAGUCAUUUUGUCUUCAUGACAAGCCUAAGGGAGGCAAGCCUAGGGAGGAGCUGUGAACCCUGGAUCUUUACACAUCUUCUCCUCUCUUUCUGAAACAUUCUUUCUCCUCUCCAUUUUUCUUACGUGAUUGGUUGGCAUCUGGCUUAUCAUUCCCUAUUUCUUGUCUUACUGGGUUAAAGGGAAGGAGAGUCGUAAGAAUCUUAAAAAUAUAUUUUUAUUUGGUUUUGAACUAAAUGAGAUAAUGAUCUAUGUCUCUUCUUAGGAGGAAGGAACACCAAUAUUAACCCUUCAACAGCUGCCUGGGCACAUCAGAAAUACUCAAGGAUAAGUGACACCCAGGUUUAUGAACCUUGUAUUGGUCAGAUUCAGUCAGGGUAGAUUUGUUAUGAUUGUUAUGAAAUAAGAGAGUUGUGAUAUGAAUUAAACGCUAUGCAAUUAUGGCAGAAACUAGGAAAGUGAAAUUCUGAAAGUGGUAUUUAAAGGAUCAGGAAAGGAUUCAUAGUAAAUCUGAAAAGUCAAAAGUCAAGCACAUACAGCAACACAAGUGGGCUCAUAAAGGGGAACUGCAGGAGAUGUCUGUGGGAAAUCAUUGCCUCUCAGAGGCAACUGCUCUGGGUGUUGCAGAUGAGAUGAUGGGCCUGGAGCUGCUGUUUGUAAAGAGGAAGAACUGGAAGUGCUGGAAGCUACCAGGUACUGCUAUGCCUGUCACUCCAUCUGAUCACAUGACCUUCAGAGUGAUAACGGCUGCUGCUUCACCUCUGCCUUCCAAAUCUUAUGCAAGUCUCUCUCUUGUACAACUCUGGCUUGAGACCAUAAAGGAAACCAUACCUAGUUUCUGAUUAAACCAAGCUGACACAGUAAAAUCCAAUUUAUCCAAUUGGUAAAUCUCCUUUACCAAUGAGAAGUAAAAGACAAACUAAAGUAAGGGUUGACUAACAUGAGCAGGGAUGUCUGAGUAACAUGAGAUGGGAUGUCAACUUACAGUCACCUUGCCUUUUCUUACACCUCCUGCAUGCCCAGUGUGUCAGCACAUUUUCUAACACUGUACCAUUAUCUCCACAAUGGCAUGAGCAUGUAUCCCCUCUUCUCCCCAUGGUCAUUAACCCUGUUCAGAUUCUCCUCACCUCUCAUCUUGAAGACUGAGUGUCUUUCGAGUCCUCCACUCACCCUGCUCUCUCUGGCCUCUUCAUCUUGCGUGCUUGAUCUUUCUUCUGCCUGGAAUGCUCUUCCCUCCUUUAUACUUGAGGUCUUAGUUUAAAGAUCACUGUAUUUUGGAAGCAUUUUGGAUCUCUCAAAAAAUCUGAGUUAGAUACCACACUGAUUUGCUUCUCUAUUCUAGUACUUAUUACAUUUUAGGUCUUAUUUAAUUGUCUGUGUUCCUCUCCAUUACCAUCAACUAGGGCCUGACACAUAGGGGUUCAAUAAUUGUCAAGUGAUUGACAGAAUGAAUGAAUGGAUGGAUGAGUGAAAAAGUCUCUCCAUUUCCAGUGUGUAUUCUCUCUAAUAUCUUCUAUAUUCUACACUGAAAUUAUCUUUUUGAAAGCCUGGACUUCUUCAGUGGCUUGUCAUUGCCAGUGGAUAAAAUGCAGACUUUUCAUCUGUGCAUUCAAGAACUACCACAUAUAGUCUCAGCCUACCAUUUCUUUCUUUUUUUUUUUUUUUUUUUAUAGAUGGAGUCUUUCUCUGUUGCCCAGGCUGGAGUGCAGUGGCAUGGUCUCAGUUCACUGCAACCUCUGCCUGUUGGGUGCAAGAGAUUUUCCUGCCUCAGCCUCCUGAGUAGCUGGGAUUACAGGCACGCACCACCACACCCAGCUAAUUUUUGUAUUUUUAGUAGAGAUGGAGUUUCACCAUGUUGGCCAGGCUGGUCUCGAACUCCUGACCUCAUGAUCUACCUGCUUCGGCCUCCCAAAGUACUGGGAUUUCAGGCAUGAGCCACCGCACCCAGCCCCAGCGUACCUUUUCUAAACGUCUCCCAGGAUUCUUCCAUAAGUAUCCUCUAUACUUUAACCAAACUUAUCAACAAAUUGUUCUCUGAAGAACAGUAAUUAUUUGCGAUAAUAAUUUCAAAAAAAAACUUUUAUUUAUUGAGCAUACACUAUAUGUUAGUCAUUAUAGUAUAUAUUUUAUCUAUUUUAUCUUACUGAAUUAUUACAAUAAUCUUGUGAGGCUUUCAUCUCUUACCCUUAUUUUAAAGAUGAGAAAACCAAAGUUCAGAAAAGAUAAGUCACUUGCCCUAAGUCACUUGGCCAAAAUCACAUAACUAGUAGGUGAUGAAACCAGUAUUUAAAUUCAUGUAUUAUCCAAAGUCAAGACUAUAACCAUUCCACUCUACCAUAUCUUCCUGCAAGAAGUUUUCAAUAACCAUUUGUUGAAUUAUUUAAUUAACUAGGUGACUAAUAUAACCUAUAUACUUUGUAUAGCUUAUCUCAUUAGCAUUCACACAACAGCUUUAUGAGAGAAGCUAUUAUUAUUCCCAGAUUACAGAUAAUAAAAGUGAGACUCAAAGAAGUAAAGUAACUUACUCUAGGCCACACAUUUCAAAAGGGAGAAAACUGGGAAAUUGAACCCUGGUUUGUUUGCCUCCAGGUUGGCGCAACUAGCCACUAUGCUACACCAAUCCUAGUUAAAAUCACCUAUUGCUGGAUCUGGACUGGUCUCAAGUUACCGUCUUGUCUCAGAGCCCUCACUCAAUGGAUACGAAUAACAAUUCCCAUGAAGGCUAAGUGGCAGCACAUGAUUAUGGUAAACCAGGACUAUGGCUUGGUGUCCAGUGUGUUUUCAUUAUAAAAUCUGUCUUCUUUUCUCACCAAAAAUGUAUCCUAGAUGAGAGCCAAGGCUUGCCCAUUAGACAACAGGGAACACACCCAGCCCACUCAGUCUUUGCUCAUGCUGUACACUUUGCCUAUUAAAAUUCAACUUUACUCUGCUGGUCCUGAGGACGUCUGUUUUCUGUUUUCUAAGAAUAUGAGAGAUUUUGAGUCAGAGACACAUCAUAACUAUCUUCCAGGAGCUUAAAAGCAAAUAGAGACUUUACUGAUAGGAAUGCUGUGACCAUUAGACAAAGAUUCCAUGAAAACAAGCUCUCAAGACUUUCUAUUUAUACAAGCACUGGAGCUGGUGAGUUCUGGAAGUUGAAUGUUUAACCUAAGUGGAUCCUAGGGAAUUGUCACCUUCCUGGAGGAGUGAGAAAUUCAAGAAGAGCUGAAAUGCUAUAAGAGCUGGAGCCCAUCUACCUGGAGAUUGGAAGUUGAAUGGGGCUGGGGUAUAGCACAAGAAAGCAGAGAGGUGGCAAGAGGGUUUCAGACUAAAGAGACAAUGAAUUUUUUUCACUCAUUCAAUUAUUUCUUUUGUCAAAACAUAUGUAUGAUGCACCUACUAUGAGCCACACUUUGUAUGAGAACUUAGAACGGCUUAACCUAGGCUAGCAUCUCAGAGAAAACUCCUGUAUUAGUCCAUUUUUAUACUGCUAUAAUGAACUGCCGAAGACUGGGUAAUUUAUAAAGGAAAGAGGUUUAAUCAACUCACAGUUCAGCAUGGUUUGGGAGGCCUCAAGAAACUUACAAUCAUGGAGGAAGGUGAAGGGGAAGCAAGUCACCAUCUUCACAAAAUGGCAGGAAGGAGAAGUGCCGAGCGAAGGGGGAAGAGCCCCUUAUAAAACCAUUAGAUCUGUGAGAACUCACUCAUUAGAUCAUGAGAACAACAUGGAGGAAACCACCCCUAUGAUCCAAUUACCUCUACCUGGUCUCUCCCUUGACAUUUUGGGAUUAUGGAGAUUACAAUUCAAGAUGAGAUUUGGGUGGGGACACAAAACCUAACCAUAUCAACUCCUCUCCCAAGGAGAGGAGUUUUCUCUGAGAUCUGAAGCUAGGAGAUUGGGUAAAAACAGAGAAAACAUUCCAGGCAGGUACAAAUAGCAGCUGUAAUGGAAUGGCCCUGAGGUGAGAGAGAACAUAAUACUUUGGAGGAACUGAAUGAAGGCCACUAUGCAUAGGGAAAUAUUACUAUGAGAUGGGAUAAUGGAUUGGUUAGCAGGUUCAAAUUGUGGAGAGCCUUUUAGUUUAUGAAUUUUUAUAAUUAGUAAAUGGCAGUUUUAAAACUUGGUCCAAAUAUUCUCUGAUACUCCUCCUAUUAAGAAGAGCUUUCCUUCCCUCUCCUUGAAUUUGGGCCUUGUGAUGCUGUGCCAGAUUCUGGCCUCAGGCAAGUCUUAAGAAAUGGCACCUUCUACUUCCUGGCUUUGGGGACACUUUUGGAACUUAGCCAUCAUGUUUCUAGGAAGCCCAGGAAGCCUAUGGAGAGAGCAUGUGGACGGGAACUAAGGUCUCUGACUCUGAACUUGCAGAUAAUAGCAGCAUUAACUUAUCAGCCAUAUGAGUGAGCCAUCUUGGAUGUGGAUUCUCCAUUCCCUAGUCAAGCCACUUCAGCUGAUGCUGUAAGAAGCAGAGAUGAGCCUUCCCUGCUGAACCCCACCUAAAUUGUAGAUUCUUAAUGUAGAUAAAUGAUUGCUAUUAUUUUCAAGACAAUAAAGUUGGGAGUACUUUGUUAAAUAGUAAUAGAUAUCAAAAAUAUAGGUAAAUGAGAAGCCAUUGAAGAAUGUUGAGUUUUAAGAAGUUUGUUUCUCAUUAUAGUUUUCUCUUCAUAUAACGGAGUAUAUCACAGCUUUUUAAUUCAUAGAGUUGCUCUGAGGACUGAAUAAUAUAGUAAAAGUAAAGUGCUUGCACAGUGUUGGGUGUUGAAUAAGGCUUCAAGAAGUGUUACUUAUUAUUGUUAUUUUUAGAGUUUAGAGGAAAGGAUGAUAGAAAAUUAUUCCAGGAGUCAAAGGAUAAGUUAUUGGUUACUUGGACUAGAAUGGCAAAAGUAGUGAUAAAAUGGAUGGAUUAGGGAGUUAUUUAGGAUGUAGAAAUGAUGGGCAGUCAUAAUUAAUGGAUGUGGAAGCUGAGGGAGAAUAAAAACUCAAGAAUAACUGAAGGAUUCUGGCCUUGGAACUGGGCCAACAAGUGUAGCAGAUAACUGCUGAAUUUGCUUUCCAACAUCUUUUCACCCUGCAGGUAAUUUUUCCCCACUAUACUGCUGAGAAAUCAACCUGCCUCCACUCUUAAUCCAUUUGGUUUGAGCAGAGUGGAUCCACUCCACUUCCUCCUUCAGGUUAGACAUACUACCCAAGCCUUAGCCAAUCUCCCAGGCAAGUGGUUCCAGGAUUGGCACAUGACCCAAACAGGCCAUUUGGAGGCAACAAGACUCAAUUUUAGGGCAUUUUAUUUGUUUGAGUUUGGAAAAGGAAUCUCUUUAUCUUUACUUUGGAACUUAAGCCUGUAACUAUUAAUAUAUAAAACUAGAACUAUUGCAGUCAUCUUACAUCUGACCAUAGAGCCAACACUGUGUGAAAAGAGAACAACUAGAAGGUGAUGGCAUUGUUUGAGCUCUGUGUCAAGCUAUACCACUUGAGAUAUACCAGCAGACCUUUUAGUUAUAUGAGCUAAAGGAUUUCUUUUUUUCUUUUGCUUUUUUUUUUCACAUACACCAGUUUGACUUGGGUUGAUGAACACUUGCACUUGAAACAGCCUACACUGAUACAUUAGUGAUGCAAGGGAAAACUGGAAGAGAACAGGUAUUGUGUUACAGCUGACUGAGAUAUUCGUGACUAUAGAGAGAAGUUAGGGUUGAGCAUAAAUUGGAGUGAAUUGAGGCACAAUUGGAAGUGGGAGAAAUAGAAAUGAAAUGCCUAAACCAGUCAAAGAAUUGUGGUCAUCUCACACUUUAUUAGUCAUCAGAAAAAUGCAAAUAAUAUCAUAAUGUGACACCAUCACACAUCUACCAGAAUGACUAGAACCAAAAAAAAAAAAAGACAAUUUCAAGUAUUGGCAAGGAUGUGAAUUAGUUAGAAUUCUUACACACUGCCAGUGGUAUUGUAAGUCUAUGCAACCACAUUGGAAAACUGAUUGGCAGUAUCAGUUUACUGCUCAAGCUGAAUGUAUGCAUACCCUGUGAUACUAGAUGUAUAACCAACAGAAAUACAUGCAUGUAAGCACCAUAAGAUGUACAAAAAUGUUCAUUGCAGGUCUACUUGUAAUAGCUUCAAACUGUACACUAAUCAAAUUAUACUUAACCAUAGAAAAAAUUGUGGUGUAUUUUCUCAACAAAAUACUAUACAACAAUGAAAAUUAAUGAACCACAGAGCUCAAAAGCAAGCAGAAAAAAUUUAUGGUGCUAUAAGUCAGAAUAUUCAUUAGCCUUUGGGAAGGUGGUCUCUGGAAGGAGCAAUGGCGGGGAGACUCUCUGGGAUGCUGGUAACUUCUUAUUUCUUAAUAUGAGUUCUGGUUGCACAAGUGUGAUCUCUUUGUAAAAUUUUACCUACAAUUUGUACAUUUUUCUGAAUAUUUUCUAUACCCCACUAAAACUUCAAAAAAUAAAAAUGUGGGUAUGAGGAGCCAUUAACCAGUGGAGUAAAGUUGGAAAGGAGGCUGGAGAGCUGAAAGUGGGUUUCAUGACUAGCAUCUUCAAAUUUUGGAAUCCAGGAAACGGGAGAGACUAAAUGAACAUAGAAAUGGGUGACCUUCCCUUAAGAGAUGCCAAUCCUUGAUGUUGGGGAGCCCCAUGUUGACCCUUCCCUGAUAGGGAAAAGCAAGACCAAUCAAAUGGAGCUGCCUGCUGUCCUCUCUAAGAAUCCAGCCCUUGUCCUACAGUUGGGAGCUGUGGGAGAUGCAGCCUUGUUGAUCUGAUAGGCUAGGAUCCCUGAUAAGGUUGGACACUGCCUUUUGGGAACUGUUUCAGUGAACUUUGGAGAGUCUUGUGGGGAAAACAGACAGAGGCAUUGGUUUCUUCAGACCUCAGACAUGAAAAUUCUCCAACCAAGUCUCAUUGCCUCUAAAGAAGAAGGAAUUUCACUUAAUUUCCUGCAGAAUAGAUGAAAGAGGCAGAGAGGGCUAUGUAUAUUCCAUGAACUCCUAAAUUCCAAUUUCUUCACAUCUUUUCCAGUGCCAUUAACUAUCCUUCCUACAGAGUCAGUUCAGGCUCACCUCCCUUCUCCUGGAGUUCAAGGAGUCUCUAGCCUCCCUGCUUCGUGGCUGACAACCUCCUUCCACAGAAUAGUCAGAACAAUUCUUCUAACAUGCAAAUCUGAUUGAUCAUGCCACUCUCCUUCCUAUGAACUUUAAUGCAUCCUCCAUCUUGAGUUUCAGCCCAAACUUCAUCAAGAAGCACAAGGCCUGGUGACCUAGCCCUUGACCACGUUUUCUAACAUCAUCUCUGGCCUCCUUGUUCCCUCACAAUCCAACACGUCAGCCAUGCCCAACAUCCCAGAGAGCAGGUAGAAUGCUGAAUGUGGAGGUCGUUUUACACUUCCGUGCUUUUAGCCCAAACACCUUUUCUUCGUUUUCCUGUUGAAUACUUAUUUACCUUUGAAAAACCACACCUAGGCAUCAUUUAUUUUGGGACGCCUUCCCUGAGAGCCUCUACUCCUUCCUCUCAUUCUGAUUUUCUGUUUUCUUUCACUGUAUAUGUUACAGGGUUCUGUAUUUAUUCACAAUGGUGUAGCUUUCCUAUUAAAACUCCAGAUACUCAAGUGGCCAGGAUUUUGUCUUGUUUAUCUCAAUCCCUGAUUCUUAAAAUGGCAUUUGGCAUGUGAUAGAUUCUCAAGAAGGUUUUGAUAAACACACUCUUCAAAGCAUAACUCUAUGUGUUAUCAUUGAACUGUAACUUUCAAGUGACUUUUUUUAAUCAUUCUUAUUGUUGUGUGCAUACAUGGUUUAACUAACUAUGAUGAUAAGCAUAACUAAAACUUUAUAACUGCUUUAUGAAGGGUGUUAUUUCAUUUGAUCCUCGCAACAGAAAGCCUGGUAGAAUGGCCUCUUUCUUUUCUUUUUUUGAGAUGGAUUUUUUAUUAUUUAUUUAUUUAUUUAUUUAUUUUUAAAAUUUUUAUUAUACUUCAAGUUCUGGGAUAUAUAUGCAAAACGUGCCAGUUUGUUACAUAGGUAUAUACGUGCCAUGGUGGUUUGCUGCACCCAUAAUCCUAUCAUCUACAUUAGAUAUUUCUCCUAAUGCUAUCUCUCCCCUAGCCCCCAAUACCGGGACAGUCCCCAGUAAGUUAUGUUUCCCUCCCUGUGUCCAUGUGUUCUCACUGUUCAACUCCCACUUGCGAGUGAGAACAUGCAGUGUUUGGUUUUCUGUUUCUGAGUUAGUUUGCUGAGAAUGAUGGUUUCCAGCUUCAUCCAUGUCCCUGGAAAGGACAUGAACUCAUCCUUUUUAUGGCUGCAUAGUAUUCCCUGGUGUAUAUGUGCCACAUUUUUCUUUAUCCAAUCUAUCAUUGUUGGGCAUUUGGGUUGGUUCCAAGUCUUUGCUGUUGUGAACAGUGCUGCAAUAAACAUACGUGUGCAUGUGUCUUGAUAGUAGAAUGAUUUAUAAUCCUUUGUGUAUAUACCCAGUAAUGCGAUUGCUGGGUCAAAUGGUAUUUCUGGUUCUAGAUCCUUGAGGAAUUGCCACACUGUCUUCCACAACGGUUGAACUAAUUUACACCCCCACCAACGGUGUAAAAGUGUUCCUAUUUCUCCACCUCCUUUCCAGCAUGUGUUGUUUCCUGACUUUUUAAUGAUCACCAUUCCAAAUGGCAUGAGAUAGUAUCUCAUUUUGGUUUUGAUUUGCAUUUCUCUAAUGACCAGUGAUGAUGAGCUUUUUUUCAUAUGUUUCUUGGCUGCAUAAAUGCCUUCUUUUGAGAAGUGUCUGUUCAUAUCCUUUGCCCACUUUUUGAAGAGGUUGUUUUUUUUCUUGUAAAUUUAAGUUCCUUAUAGAUUCUGGAUAUUAGCCCUUUGUCAGAUGGAUAGAUUGCAAAAUGUUCUCCCAUUCUGUAGGUUACCUGUUCACCCCGAUGAUAGUUGCUUUUGCUGUGCGUAAGCUCUUUAGUUUAAUUAGAUCCCAUUUGUCAAUUUUGACUUCUGUUGCCAUUGCUUUUGGUGUUUUAGUCAUGAAGUCUUUGCCCAUGCCUAUGUCCUGAAUGGUAUUGCCUAGGUUUUCUUCUAGGGUUUUUAUGGUUUUACAUCUUAUGUUUAAGUCUUUAAUCCAUCUUGAGUUAAUUUUUGCAUAAGGUAUAAGGAAGGGGUCCAGUUUCAGUUUUCUGCGUAUGGUUAGCCAGUUUUCCCAACACCAUUUAUUAAAUAUGGAAUCCUUUCCCCAUUUCUUGUUUUUGUCAGGUUUGUCAAAAAAUCAGAUGGUUGUAGAUGUGUGGUAUUAUUUCUGAGGCUCUGUUCUGUUCCAUUGGUCUAUAUAUCUGUUUUGGUACCAGUACCAUGCUGUUUUGGUUACUGUAGCUUUAUAGUAUAGUUUGAAGUCAGGUAGCAUGAUGCCUCCAACUUUGUUCUGUUUUGCUUAGGAUUACCUUGUCUAUAUGGUCUUUUGGUUCAGAAUGGCCUCUUUCAAACCCAGUCCCACAGAUAGACCAGCAAAGAAGUCUCAAAAAAAAAAAAAAAAAAGGAGGAACUAUUAGAGGACCCCUUGAUAUUUAUUUGUCUCUCAGCUUUUAAAAAUUUAUAUUUUAGAUAUUUUAUAAUAUACACAAUAGUACAUUACUGCAUGUUUGCAACUUAUAAAUGAAUAAACAUAUAUGGUGGGGGAGAGCUUAAAAUUGGUUCACUGAUAGAGUGCACGAUCAAAAAGGUUUGGUGACACUGUGUUAGACAGCACAUGGGCCUCUGUGUUUCAGUACUUGAGCAAGGAGACUUAUGUAGUCUGCCAGCUGGAUUGCAGGGUAUAUAUUUUAUAGUUUGGUGACAUUUCUCUGCCUAGGUUAUGUGCCUGAGCUCAAUUCUCAUCUUCCUAUUUUUCUUAUUCCUGUUUCUCAAUUACUAGCAGUGAUAGCAGUAGCAUUUAACAUAUAUUGAGUACUCACUCUGUGUCAGGUGCUAUGCUAAAUAUUUCCAUAUAUUAUCUCAUUUAAUACUUAUAAUAGAACACAGAGAAAAAAAUGGCAGAUAGGAGGCAGAACUAGCUUGCAGCUCCCAUUGGAUGGAUAGAGCACCACGUGGAACUCACAUCAUCAACUUGUGCUCCAAGAACUACUGAAUUCCAAAGAUAAAGGACAUAAUCUCUUGGGAGCUCCAUGGUCCCACCCACCACCUGAGAAACCCAGAUACUUAUCCAGAAGACCUUAAGGCAAGCUUGCAUCUUCCCUAUACUACUGCAGCUGAUACUUUUUUGAAAACACCACCUCCGGACUGGAGGCCAACCAACACAAAACUAGGGUGCUAAACAAAACUACAAUCAAGGACCCUAACAGAGUCCACUUCACUCCCCUGCUACCUCCACCAGAGCAGGUGCUGGUAUCCAUGACUCAGAGACCUGAACACAGAUCACAGGACUCUUUGCUUACACUCCCCAGUGCCAGCCCAGAGCCUGGUAGCUCCACUGGGUGGCUAGACCCAGAAUAGAAAUGAUAAUCACUGCAUUUCAGCUCUCAGGAAACCUCAUCCCUAGGGGAAGUGGGACAGUGCCACAUCAAGGGAACACACUGUGGGAAAAAAGAAUCUGAACAGCAUCCCUUGAGUCCCAGAUCUUCCCUCUGACACAGUCUACCUAAAUGAGAAGGAAACAGAAAAACAAUUCCAGUAAUAUGACAAAACAACAUUCUUUACCAUCCUCAAAAGAUCACCCUAGCUCACCAGCAAUGGAUCUAAACCAAGAAGAAAUCUCUUAAUUGCCAGAAAAAGAAUUCAGAAGGUCAAUUAUUAAACCACUCAAGGAGGCCAGAGAAAGGUGAAUACCAACUUAAAUAAAUUUUAAAAAUAAUACAGGAUAUGGAUGGAUAAAUCUCCAGAAAAAUAGAUACCAUAUAUAAAAAACAAUCACAGCUUCCAGAAACAAAGGAUAUGUUUGGAGAAAUGCAAAAUACACUGAAGAGUCUCAGCAAUAGAAUUGAACAAGUAGAAUAAAGAACUUCAGAGCCUGAAGUGGGCUUUCAAAUUAACCCAAUCCAACAAGACAAAGAAAAAAUAAUUUUAAGAAAAUGAACCAAGCCCCCAAGAAAUUUUGGAUUAUGUUAAACAACCAACCUAAGAAUAAUUGGUGUUCACAAGGAAGAAGAUAAAUCUAAAAGUUUGGAAAGCAUAUUUGAGAGAAUAACCAAGGAAAACUUCCCUGACCUUGCUAGAGACCUAGCCAUCCAAAUACAAGAAGCUCAAAGAACACUCCACAAAUUCAUCACAAAAGGAUCAUCGCCUAGGCACAUAGUUAUCAGAUUACCUAAAGUCAAGAUGAAGGAAAGAGUCUUAAGAGCUGUAAGGCAAAAGCAUCAGGUAACCUAUAAAGGAAAACCUAUCCCAUUAACAGCAGAUUUCUCAGCAGAAACCCUACAAAGUAGAGGGGAUUGGGGUCCUAUCGUUAGCCUCCUGAAACAAAAUAAUUAUCAGCCAAGAAUUUUUUAUCUGGCAAAACUAAGCUUCAUGAAUGAAGGAAUGAUACAGUCUUUUUCAGACCAACAAAUGCUGAAAGAUGUUGCCACUAUCAAGCCAACACUACAAGAACUGCAAAAAGGAGCUCAAAAUCUGGAAAGAAAUCCUUGAAAUACACCAAAAUAGUACCUCCUUAAAGCAUAAAUCUCACAGGACCUAUAAAACAAUAACAACAUGAAAAAUAAAAGAUAUUCAGGCAACAGCAUGAUGGGUAGAAUAGUACUUCACAUAUCAAUACUAACAUUGAAUGUAAAUGGCCUAAAUGCUCCACUUAAAAGAUACAAAAUGGCAGAAUGGGCAGGAAUUCACCAACCAAGCAUAUGCUGUCUUCAGGAAGACUCACCUAACACAUGACUCACAUAAACUUAAGGUAAAGGGGUGGAAAAGUAUAUUCCAUUCAAAUGGAUGCCCAAAGUUAGCAGAAGUAGCCAUUCUUAUAUCAGCCAAAACAGACUUUAAAGCAAAAACAAUGGUUUAGUAAGACAGAGGGACAUUAUAUAAUGAUAAAACGAAUGGUCUAACAGGAAAAUAUCACAAUCCUAAAUACAUAUGCACCUAACACUGGAGCUCCCAAAUUUAUAAAACUAUUACUAUUACACCCCAUGGUGUAAUAAGAAAUGAGACAGAUGGCAAGAAAAUGAUAAUGAGGCACUUCAAUACUCCACUGACAGCACUAGACAGGUUAUCAAGGCAGCUAACAAAGAAACAAUGGACUUGAACUAUACCCCAGAACAAACGGACUUGGCAGAUAUUUACAGAACAUUCUAUCCAACAACUGCAGAAUAUACACAUUCAUCAGCACAGGGAACAUUCUCCAAGAUAGACCAUAGGGUAGGCCACAAAACAAGUCUGAAUAAAUUUAAGAAAAUAGAAAUUAUAUCAAGUACUCUUUCAGACCACAAGGGAAUAAAAUCAGAAAUCAACUCCAAAAGAAACUGUCAAAACUGUAGAAAUUCAUGGAAAGUUAAUAACCUGCUCCUGAAUGAUCGUUGGGUCGACAAUAAAAUCAAGAUGAAAAUUAAAAAAUUAUUCAAACUGAACAAUAAUAGUGAUACAACCUAUCAAAACCUCUGGGAUACAGCAAAAGUGGUGCCAAGAGGAAAAUUCAUAGCACUAAAUGCCUACACCAAAAAGUCUGAAAGAGUGCUAAUAGGCAAUCUGAGGUCACAUCUCAAGGAACUACAGAAAAAAGAACAAACCGAACCCAAAUCCAGCAGAAGAAAAGAAAUAACAAGGAUCAGAACAGAACUAAAUGAAACUGAAACAACAACAAAAAAUACAAAAUAUAAAUAAAAUGAAAAGCUGGCUCUUUGAAAAGAUAAACAAAAUUGAUAGACCGUUACUGAGAUUAGCCAAGAAAAGAAGACAGAAGAUCAAAAUUAGCUCAAUUAGAAACAAAAUAGGAGAUAUCAACUGAUACCACAGAAAUACAAAAGAUCAUUCAAAGCUACUAUGAACACAUUUAGGCACACAAACUAGAAAACCUACAGGAGAUGGACAAAUUCCUGACAAUAUAUUACCCUCCUAGAUUAAACCAGGAAAACAUAGGAUCUCUGAGCAGACCAAAAACAAGCAAUGAGAUUGAAAUGGUAAUUUUUAAAUUGCUAACAACAACAAAAAAAAUCCAAGACAAGAUAAUUCACAGCUGAAUUCUAUCAGACAUUCAAAGAAGAAUUGGUAUCAAUCCUAUUGACACUAUUCCACAAGAUAUAGAAAGAGGGAAUCCUCCCCUAAUCAUUCUACAAAGCCAGUGUCGUCACCCCAAUAUCAAAACCAGGGAAGGACAUAACAAAAAAAAGAAAACUACAGACCAAUAUCCCUAAUGGAAAUAGAUGCAAAAAUCCUCAGCAAAAUAUUAGUGAACCAAAUCCAACAAUAUAUCGAAAAGAUAAUCCACCAUGAUCAAGUGGGUUUCAUACCAAGGAUGCCAGAAUAGUUUAACAUAUGUAAGUCAAUAAAUGUGAUACACCACAUAAACAGAAUGAAAAACAAAAAUCACAUGAUCAUCUAAAUAGAUUCAGAAAAAGCAUUCGACAAAACCCAGCAUCCCUUUAUGAUUAAAACCUUUGGCAAAAUCAGCAUAAAAGGGACAUAUCUUAAGGUAAUAAAAGCCAUCUAUGACAAACCCACAGCCAACAUUAUAUUGAAUGGGAAAAGUUGUAAGCAUUCUCUAUAAGAACUGGAACAAGAAAAGGAUGCCCACUUUCACCACUUCUAUUCAACAUAGUACUGGAAGUCCUAGCCAGAGUGAUCAGACAAGAGAAAGAAAUAAAGGGCAUCCAAAUUGGUAAAGAGGAAGUCAAACUGUCACUGUGCACAGAAGAUAUGAUUGUAUACCUAGAAAACCCUAAAGCCUCAUCCAAAAAGCUCCUAGAUCUGAUGAAUGAAUUCAGUAAAGUUUCAAGAUGCAAAAUCAAUGUAUACAAAUCAGUAGCUCUGCCCUACACCAACAGCAAUCAAGUUGAGAAUCAAAUCAAUAACUCAACCCCUUUUACAAUAGCUGCAAAAAAUAAAAUAAAAUAAAAUAAAAUUCUUGGGAAUAUACCUAACCAAGGAGGUGAAACACUCCUACAAGAAAAACUACAAAACACUGCUGAAAGAAAUCACAGGCAGCACAAAUAAAUAGAAACACAUCCCAUGCUCAUGGAUGGGUAGAAUCAAUAUUGUGAAAAUGACCAUACUACCAAAAGCAACCUACAAAUUCAAUGCAAUGCCCAACAAAAUACCAUCAUAAUUCUUCACAGAACUAGAAAAAAACAAUCCCCAAAGUCAUGGAAUUUUAGGAACCAUGGCUAAAUACUGGAACCAAAAAAGGAGCCCAAAUAGCCAAAGCAAGCUAAGCAAGAAGAACAAAUCUGGAGACACCACAUUGCUUGACUUCAAACUAUACCAUAGGCCAUAGUCAUCAAAACAUCAUGGUACUGGUAUAAAACAGGCACAUAGACCAAUGGAGCAGAAUAGAGAACCCAAAAAUAAAGCCAAACACUUACAGCCAACUGAUCUUCAACAAAGCAAACAAAAACAUAAAGUGGGGAAAGGACACCCUAUUCAACACAUGGUGCUGGGAUAAUUGGCAAGCUACAUGUAGAAGAAUAAAACUGGAUCCUCAUCUCUCGCCUUAUAUAAAAAUCAACUCAAGAUGGAUCAAAGACUUAAACCUAAGACCUGAAACCACAAAAAUUCUAGAAGAUAACAUCAGAAAAACCCUUCUAGACAUUGGCUUAGGCAAAGACUUCAUGACCAAGAACCCAAAAGCAAAUGCAACAAAAACAAAGAUAAAUUGAUGGGACUUAAUUAAACUCAAAAGCUCUGCACAGCAAAAUAAAUAAUCAGCAGGGUAAACAGACAACCUAUAGAGUUUGCAAACUUUGCAUCUGACAAAGGACUAAUGUCCAGAAUCUACAAAGAAUUCAAACAAAUUAGCAAGAAAAAAAAAUCCCAUCAAAAAGUGGGCUAAGGACAUAAAUAGACAAUUCUCAAAAGAAGAUAUACAAAUGGCCAAUAAACAUAUGAAAAAAUGCUCAACAUUACUAGUUAUCAAGGAAAUGCAAAUCAAAACCAUAAUGCAAUACCACCUUACUCCUGCAAGAAUGGCCAUAAUUACAAAAUCAAAAAAUAAUAGAUGUUGGCAUGGAUGUGGUGAAAAGGGGACACUUUUACACUGCUAGUGGGAAUAUAAACUAAUACGACCACUAUGGAAAACAGUGUGGAGAUUCCUUGAAGAACUAAAAGUAGAUCUACCAUUUGAUUCAGCAAUCCCACUGCUGAGUAUCAACCCAAAGGCAAAGAAGUCAUUAUACAAAAAGAUAUCAAUCAAGUGGAUAAAGAAAAUGUGAUAUUUUAUAUAUAUAGUAUACAGUAUAUACACAUAUAGUAUAUUAUAUAUAUAAAUAUAUAUUUAUACACACACAACUAUAUCAUCGAAUACUACUCUGUCAUAUAAAAGAACAAAAUCAUGGUAUUUGCAGCAACUUGGAUGGAAUUGGAGACCAUUAUUCUAAGUGAAGUAACUCAGGAAUGGAAAACCAAACAUCAUAUGUUCUCACUCGUAAGUGAGAGCUAAGCUGUGAGGAGGACGCAAAGGCAUAAGAACAAUACAAUGGACUUUGGGGACUUGAGGGAAAGGGUGGGAGGUUGGGGGGUAAUAAAAGACUACACAUUGGGUAGAGUGUACACUGCUCAAGUGACAGGUGCACCAAAAUCUCAGAAAUCGCCCCUAAAUAACUUAUCCAUGUAACCAAACACCACUUGUUGCCCAAAAACGCAUUGAAAUAAAAUAAUGAUAAUAAAAUACUCAUAAUAAUUGCAUGAGAUAGGUUUUAUUAUCCCUGGUUUACAAAUUAGGAAACUAAAGUGAAAAAACUUGCCCAAGGUCCCAGAGCUAUGUGGUGGAGCAGAGAUUCAGUCCUACCUCUUGAAUAAAAAAGGUGAAAUUGAAGAAUAGUUCUGGAUUCAAACACAGAUUUUGUCAUUUAUUAGGAAAGCUAUACAACAGUAUUGUCUUUACUUAGAGACAACUGACCCGUUGUUUUAAUGUCUAGUCUAACCCUGUAAUGGCCCUCCUAGCCAGACACAAACGAAACAUGAUGCAUAUGGAAUUCGGUGUUUCGGAAAGAUGUGCAUGCCUCACAGUACCAGUGGGAAACUACUCUUGUAAACAGCAUAAUUUUUAACCACCACUACCCCCACCACCACUCCCAUCAUGGCAAAAUGCCCAAAGUCAUUAGGCAGUAAGUACGUCAGUGUUUGACGUGAGUCUCAAAUAAAAGUGCAGCAAGCCAGUAUGCCUUGAUUUCUGAUGGCAAGACCUCACCGAACUGCUUAUUUGAAGCCAGCACCAGAAAGAAGGGAGAAAGGGGUGAUGGAUUUUCCAAGGCAGGCAGCGAAACAGAUACCAGAGCAACUGAGAAUGACUCUAACUACCUACUUCUCUAGCGGCCUGGGAACACAUCCUGGGGCAUGGCUUUUUAUGAUCUAGUGUACUUCCUUUAUGCCCUGAGAUUUCCCUGUGGGUCCUGGACCCUCAGGGAUACAUCAUACAAGGCUCAGUCUUCUACCUAACAUCUGCGUUUUGCACAUUGCUACGCAGUUAUCCCAUCUCCCAACUGCCUGUUGGCAAAUGCACAACACUUCAAUCUACCCAGGUAACGCUUAGUGGGAAAAUAGGAUGUCAAUGAAUCCAGAGAACCUGUGAUGAUGACAUAAUGACUUGGCCAAGGUCAUCCUGUGAUGAAAUGAAAAAUGAAACUCAAGCUUGGUAUCUGUACUGACAUCUGUGGAUAACCCGUUAGUUUUUGGAACCUGACUUGGACACCUUAGGAGUGUCAGGUUCACACUGUACUUGAGGAGCUUAACUGAGACCAUGUCUUCUUUUUCCCUUCCCUCUUCUCUUUGAGAAAUGUGGUCUGGCAAGGAGCAGAGCAGCUUUUUCCCAGGCAUUCAAGUUUGAGUUGGUUUAUUUCUGGUGCACUGGGUGGGAUAAGCCAGGAGACCCAACUAGGAUACCCCAUCCUGCUGCUGGGAAUAGAAGUAGGAGGCAACCAGUUUUCCACUGAAUGGGAGCCCAGGCUGAGUGACUACAACAAAGCCUCAAAUUAACAUAGAUCAGCAGAGGGGAAACUGCCCCAGGCAAGGAUGGUGAAGUAGAUGAUGACAAUGACACAAUAAUAAUAAUAAUA